CUCAGCCUGGACUGGGAGCUGGCCGCCUGCUGCUCCCCCCCCACGUCCCAUGUUGUGGGCCUUGACCUGGCCUUCUUUCCUCCAGCCGAUCUGCACAAUGCAACCAACCUGCGGUCUCGGUCCCUGUCGGGCACAGGACGGUCCCUGGUCGGGUCCUGGCUGAAGUUGAACAGAGCAGAUGGAAACUUCCUUCUCUAUGCACACUUAACCUACGUCACUUUGCCGCUGCAUCGGAUUUUAACAGACAUCCUGGAAGUUCGGCAGAAGCCCAUCCUGAUGACCUAGCCGCGUGCGGAGCCUGCGCAGAGCCCCGGCCGGGCCCAGCCCUGGGAGUGCUGCCAAGUGCCUACCUGUCCACCGCCACCGGGGUCUUCUGUGACACGCCAGUGCUGGAGCCACAGCCAGGCGAGGCCACUCGACUCCCGGGGCCAGGGCCGACUCCACGAACACCAGCCCAAACUGAAGUGCCUCUUCCCUCCCCUGCUGGCUCUGCUCCGCCCUGUGCCCCCCGCCCAUCGCCCCCCACCCAUCUCUGGAGAGCCCUCUGCACCCAAAGAGAACUAGAGAUGCUGAGCGGCCAUGAGAGAGCGCGGGAGGAGCAGCUGAUGCCCAGAGCGGGGCCAGACCGGCGCAUCUAUGUUCACGUCCCCCCCAGCAGCAGGCGGAACCACCCAGCCAGGGCACUCAGCGCAUCAGACUGUCCACACCUUCUUGAGGAAAGCCGGUGGAAGAUUUUGGAAUGCCAUGCGGAUGAACUUCA
RNAcentral lists this small RNA (760 nucleotides) under Pongo abelii (Sumatran orangutan). Its description in RNAcentral is "retained intron". Lineage: Eukaryota; Metazoa; Chordata; Mammalia; Primates; Hominidae. The record is from RNAcentral.